UGUGAAGGAGGACAUGUCAUGAAGACAUUCGGUGCAACUUAAGAGGACACAAAGGAGAUGGCAAGAUGGAGGCAGAUGAACCGCUAUGGCGACCCCUGAAGGAAGAAGCUGAAAGACGAAUACGGUCACAGACGAAAGCGAUUACAAAUCUUUGGGUCUUGAUUUGUCCUCGGCGUCUCACUCUGACCCUGAGCCAUGACCGGGAAUUCACACCUGAGCUGUUGAACCUGAAGGAUUCUGUAACACACACACAUACACACACACACACACAAACGCACACACAAACACAAACACACACACACAGUGAGAGAGGGUGAUCAUCAGUGAUAUGUCAUUUCUCAUGUCCGCUGGAACUUGUGGACUGAGACAUGAAUACUAACACAAGGACAACGGCACAAGAUUCACAACACCAAGAAGACAACAUUAUGCAAGAGCAAAAAAUGAUACAAAUAUAAAUAUACGUAGAAAGUAAUAAACAAGAAAACACAAGAUAAAACAAGUUAAAAAGACAACAUCACAUGGUAACUCUUGGAAUUAGAUUAAUGUGAUGAUGAAGUACAAAUUAAUGACAUAUGAAGUAAUGAUUAAGUACUGACCAUUACCUAAAUAUUAUUAUUAAUACAUGAUUGGUUAAAUAUUACCAAAUGAGUAUUUAAUACCUUAAUUUACUAUUUAAUUAUAAUUAAGUACUGGGUAUUACCUAAUUAUUUUUACCUAUAUGAUUAAUUUAAUAUUAAUCAUUAAUAUUAAUCAUUAAUAUUAAUCAUUACAUGUGGCAUAAACACUGACCUUGUCAGGACAUGUUAUCCUCAUAGGGACCGAAACCUGGUCCUAAUGAGGCACAACCUCAUUUAUGAGUUGGUUGAGUUUAAGGCUAAGCACUUACUAGUUAUGGUUAAUGAUAAUUCUGUGUGUGUUUGAUUUUGAACACUUACUGUCAGUAAUGAGGGAGUGCACAGCGGUGACUUGUCUCCGUCCUAAGCCGUGACUCCUGGACAGCACACAGUCCACAUAGAUGUCCCAAAAAACCCGGGCCAGGUCCCAGUAGAGCGCCGUGUGUUUGCUGUUGUCUGACGCCCUGAGGAAAACCAUCAGCUCCCAGAAGGCGGGCACCGUGUCAGCGAUCCUCGGGGAGCGCAUCUUCAGCAACAGCGCCGAGGAGAAGUCCCAGCACUGCGGGUUGGCUCGGUGGGCCGCCAGGGGGUCCACCUGACCCGGCUUCUGGCCCUGGAGCGGCACGGCACACAUGGAGCCCAGCACAAACACUGUGGCCAAGGGUAUGUUCAGGAGCACUGGGACCAUCUGCAGAGGACGCAACACAGGAGAACUUAAGGCCAUCUGUCCACCAGCUGAAGCUCAACAGAGGAUGGGUGAAGCAACGGGACAACGACCCAAAGCACAGAAGUAAAUCAACGACAGAAUGGCUUCAACAGAAGAAAAUAGUUCUGACCUCAACCCAAGUGAGAUGCUAUGGCAUGACUUCAAGAGAGCGAUUCACACCGUUGUGCAGCUCUGAUCUGCAACUUCAGGAAACAUUGGGUUGAGGCUAUUAAAUUCAAGGGUUCACAUACUUUUUUUUUGCAACUGUAAAUCCAUCACACAUUUUCAUAUAAGUGUUCAUCUUUAUAUCGCAUUUGUUCCAAUCUCUUUUUAAAGUUCACUGACUCACUUUCAUUUGAAAUGUCUGGAUUGAGCAUGAGGGCUACUUAUUUUUCUGUCUUAGCAAAGAGCAUGAAAUGUACGACGUCAGUUUCAGU
Solea solea (common sole) is the source of this 1757-nucleotide long non-coding RNA. RefSeq lists it as uncharacterized. The record is from RefSeq and is a predicted model, not a curated record. Lineage: Eukaryota; Metazoa; Chordata; Actinopteri; Pleuronectiformes; Soleidae. The transcript has 3 exons.